Molecule: ribosomal RNA, 206 nt
Filed under: uncultured bacterium
Lineage: Bacteria
Description: partial 16S ribosomal RNA
Rfam family: Bacterial small subunit ribosomal RNA
Source: RNAcentral
CACGUAGGCGGACCAGAAAGUUGGGGUGAAAUCCCGGGGCUCAACCUCGGAACUGCCUUCAAAACUCCUGGUCUUGAGUUCGAGAGAGGUGAGUGGAAUUCCGAGUGUAGAGGUGAAAUUCGUAGAUAUUCGGAGGAACACCGGUGGCGAAGGCGGCUCACUGGCUCGAUACUGACGCUGAGGUGCGAAAGCGUGGGGAGCAAACA